GGGGAUUUAGCUCAGUGGUAGAGUGCUUGCCUAGAGCGCUUGCCUAGCAAGCGCAAGGCCCUGGGUUCAGUCCCCA
RNAcentral lists this transfer RNA (76 nucleotides) under Rattus norvegicus (Norway rat). The record is from Rfam by way of RNAcentral. Lineage: Eukaryota; Metazoa; Chordata; Mammalia; Rodentia; Muridae.